This 136-nucleotide small nucleolar RNA is filed under the name Kryptolebias marmoratus (mangrove rivulus). Its description in RNAcentral is "Small nucleolar RNA SNORA30/SNORA37 family (ENSKMAG00000021565.1)". The record is from RNAcentral. Lineage: Eukaryota; Metazoa; Chordata; Actinopteri; Cyprinodontiformes; Rivulidae.
ACAGCAUCUUAAACAGGUCGUGGUCUCUGAGCAGUAGACCAGGAUUUGGUAGCUGGUGCUAAAAUCAAAUCUCUCUUGCAGCAAUCCCUCUAGCAACUUUUGUGCUUUUGGGGACCACAACAGGAGAGAUACAAAC